GCGAGUGAAGCGGGAAAAGCUCAAAUUUAAAAUCUGGCGGUCUUCUGGCCGUCCGAGUUGUAGUCUGGAGAAGCGUUUUCCGCGUUGGACCGUGUACAAGUUUCCUGGAACGGAGCGUCAUAGAGGGUGAGAAUCCCGUCUUUGACACGGAUCCCAAUGCUUUGUGAUGCGCUCUCAAAGAGUCGAGUUGUUUGGGAAUGCAGCUCAAAAUGGGUGGUGAAUUCCAUCUAAAGCUAAAUAUUGGCGAGAGACCGAUAGCGAACAAGUACCGUGAGGGAAAGAUGAAAAGCACUUUGGAAAGAGAGUUAAACAGUACGUGAAAUUGUUGAAAGGGAAACGCUUGAAGUCAGUCGCGUCGGCCGGGACUCAGCCUUGCAUCCGCUUGGUGUACUUUCCGGUCGACGGGCCAGCAUCAGUUUUGACCGCGAGAUAAAGGCGGAGGGAAUGUGGCUCUCUCGGGAGUGUUAUAGCCCUUCGUCAGAUGUCGCGGUUGGGACUGAGGAACUCAGCACGCCUUUAUGGCCGGGGCUCGCCCACGUACGUGCUUAGGAUGCUGGCGUAAUGGCUUUAAACGAC
This 576-nucleotide ribosomal RNA is filed under the name Stereum hirsutum. RNAcentral's name for it is "eukaryotic LSU rRNA". It matches the Rfam family "Eukaryotic large subunit ribosomal RNA", at positions 89 to 648 of the family's 3401-position model. The record is from RNAcentral. Lineage: Eukaryota; Fungi; Basidiomycota; Agaricomycetes; Russulales; Stereaceae.